CUCCUAAAAGGUAACGGAGGCGCUCAAAGGUUCCCUCAGAAUGGUUGGAAAUCAUUCAUAGAGUGUAAAGGCAUAAGGGAGCUUGACUGCGAGACCUACAAGUCGAGCAGGGUCGAAAGACGGACUUAGUGAUCCGGUGGUUCCGCAUGGAAGGGCCAUCGCUCAACGGAUAAAAGCUACCCCGGGGAUAACAGGCUUAUCUCCCCCAAGAGUUCACAUCGACGGGGAGGUUUGGCACCUCGAUGUCGGCUCAUCGCAUCCUGGGGCUGUAGUCGGUCCCAAGGGUUGGGCUGUUCGCCCAUUAAAGCGGUACGCGAGCUGGGUUCAGAACGUCGUGAGACAGUUCGGUCCCUAUCCGUCGUGGGCGUAGGAAAUUUGAGAGGAGCUGUCCUUAGUACGAGAGGACCGGGAUGGACAUACCUCUGGUGUACCAGUUGUCGUGCCAACGGCAUAGCUGGGUAGCUAUGUGUGGACGGGAUAAGUGCUGAAAGCAUCUAAGCAUGAAGCCCCCCUCAAGAUGAGAUUUCCCAACUUCGGUUAUAAGAUCCCUCAAAGAUGAUGAGGUUAAUAGGUUCGAGGUGGAAGCAUGGUGACAUGUGGAGCUGACGAAUACUAAUCGAUCGAAGACUUAAUCAAAA
This 638-nucleotide ribosomal RNA is filed under the name Staphylococcus aureus. RNAcentral's name for it is "bacterial LSU rRNA". It matches the Rfam family "Bacterial large subunit ribosomal RNA", at positions 2287 to 2925 of the family's 2925-position model. Lineage: Bacteria; Bacillati; Bacillota; Bacilli; Caryophanales; Staphylococcaceae. The record is from RNAcentral.